AAGCAGGGGAUCGUAAGACCUUGCGCUUUUGGAGCGGCCGAUGCCUGAUUAGCUAGUUGGUGGGGUAAAGGCCUACCAAGGCGACGAUCAGUAGUUGGUCUGAGAGGACGACCAGCCACACUGGGACUGAGACACGGCCCAGACUCCUACGGGAGGCAGCAGUGGGGAAUUUUGGACAAUGGGCGAAAGCCUGAUCCAGCAAUGCCGCGUGAGUGAAGAAGGCCUUCGGGUUGUAAAGCUCUUUCAGCCGGGAAGAAAAGAUCGCGACUAAUAAUCGCGAUUCAUGACGGUACCGAAAGAAGAAGCACCGGCUAACUACGUGCCAGCAGCCGCGGUAAUACGUAGGGUGCGAGCGUUAAUCGGAAUUACUGGGCGUAAAGGGUGCGCAGGCGGUUUUGUAAGUCAGAUGUGAAAUCCCCGGGCUUAACCUGGGAACUGCGUUUGAAACUACAAAGCUAGAGU
This 462-nucleotide ribosomal RNA is filed under the name uncultured ammonia-oxidizing beta proteobacterium. RNAcentral describes it as "bacterial SSU rRNA". It matches the Rfam family "Bacterial small subunit ribosomal RNA", at positions 202 to 647 of the family's 1533-position model. The record is from RNAcentral. Lineage: Bacteria; Pseudomonadati; Pseudomonadota; Betaproteobacteria.